UGCGGUGAUGAUGGCUUGAAGGAUACACCUGUUUCCAUUCCGAACACAGAAGUUAAGCUUCAAAACGCCGGUU
RNAcentral lists this ribosomal RNA (73 nucleotides) under Ligilactobacillus aviarius. Lineage: Bacteria; Bacillati; Bacillota; Bacilli; Lactobacillales; Lactobacillaceae. The record is from RNAcentral.